GCGCCCAUAGCUCAGUUGGUAGAGCAGCGGACUUUUAAUCCGUUUGUCGCAGGUUCGAACCCUGCUGGGCGCA
This 73-nucleotide transfer RNA is filed under the name bacterium. RNAcentral describes it as "tRNA-Lys". It matches the Rfam family "tRNA". Rfam says of the family: Transfer RNA (tRNA) molecules are approximately 80 nucleotides in length. Their secondary structure includes four short double-helical elements and three loops (D, anti-codon, and T loops). Further hydrogen bonds mediate the characteristic L-shaped molecular structure. tRNAs have two regions of fundamental functional importance: the anti-codon, which is responsible for specific mRNA codon recognition, and the 3' end, to which the tRNAs corresponding amino acid is attached (by aminoacyl-tRNA synthetases). tRNAs cope with the degeneracy of the genetic code in two manners: having more than one tRNA (with a specific anti-codon) for a particular amino acid; and 'wobble' base-pairing, i.e. permitting non-standard base-pairing at the 3rd anti-codon position. The record is from RNAcentral.